Molecule: long non-coding RNA, 755 nt
Organism: Dalotia coriaria
Lineage: Eukaryota; Metazoa; Arthropoda; Insecta; Coleoptera; Staphylinidae
Exons: 2
Source: RefSeq, a predicted model, not a curated record
AGGACGUUUCCAUAGGUUUUCAUCGCAUUACAAGCUGUGCAAGUGCAUGCCGCACGCCAGUCAUUUAAAUAUUACGUGUAAACAUGCCGCCGACAAAAGUUUGCCAACAAUAAAAUCACGUAUUGUUUUGUCUAAAACAUUUCAAUCAAAUUAAACUUCCAGUGCUGCAAAGUGUAAUAAAGGCGAUGAGUUUUUUUUCCCCGCCAUGCUGCGAAUCACAAUGACAAUACCAACAGAUUUCUAACACAGUGAUGAUGAUGAAAACGGUGUAACAAAGUGAACAGUCAAUAAUAUUGGACCCCCGUGCGUGUGCAUUAGAGUUAUGAAAUGUUCGGGAGGCAUCCAAGGUGACCCUAUCUAUUCAGAACGGUUCGUUCGGAUCAACAAGUCCCAUUCAAGGGUAUUGUGCGUAGCGGACGGCGCGGAAUCGGGAGUCUAUUGUGCAACGAUACCCUCUCGGUGGAUUUGCCAUCGAUGGCUUGCAGGGGGCCAUUGUAAUUUGGCACUAAACUUUAUAUUCGACAAUAUUGUAUAGAAAAGUACACAAAGCUCAGAAGAAGACAACCAGAAUGACAUAUCGACGGCAUAUACAUACACGUAUAACUACAUUUUGAUGACGAUAAAGGGACGACGAUAUAAAAGACCCAUUCAAAAAAAAAUCCAUCAAUUUCGUCUCCAGACUUCAAUAAAUAUUAAUUCGGCAGAUUAUAUUCCAACAGUGAUUGAAAAAAAUACAAAUAUAGAUUUUAUUUGAA